Molecule: ribosomal RNA, 252 nt
Filed under: uncultured bacterium
Lineage: Bacteria
Description: partial 16S ribosomal RNA
Rfam family: Bacterial small subunit ribosomal RNA
Source: RNAcentral
GCAAGUCGAACGAGGUCCAUGGAGCUUGCUCUGGAAGACCUAGUGGCGAACGGGUGCGUAACACGUGAGAAACCUGCCCCGAUCUCUGGGAUAACAGUUGGAAACGACUGCUAAUACCGGAUGCCAUCACACCGUCUCAUGGCGGAGUGAUGAAAGAUUUAUCGGAUUGGGAGGGUCUCGCGGCCUAUCAGCUAGUUGGAGAGGUAAAGGCUCACCUAGGCGACGAUCUCUAGCUGGUUUGAGAGGAUGAUC